CCUACGGGGGGCAGCAGUGGGGAAUAUUGCACAAUGGAGGAAACUCUGAUGCAGCAACGCCGCGUGAAGGAUGAAGGUUUUCGGAUUGUAAACUUCUUUGAUUGGGGACGAAUAAUGACGGUACCCAAAAAACAAGCCACGGCUAACUACGUGCCAGCAGCCGCGGUAAUACGUAGGUGGCAAGCGUUGUCCGGAGGUACUGGGUGUAAAGGGCAUGUAGGCGGGAAGAUAAGUCAGAUGUGAAAUUCCAUGGCUCAACUGUGGCGCUGCAUCUGAAACUAUUUUUCUUGAGUGAUGGAGAGGAAAGUGGAAUUCCUAGUGUAGCGGUGAAAUGCGUAGAUAUUAGGAGGAACACCAGUGGCGAAGGCGACUUUCUGGACAUUAACUGACGCUGAGGCGCGAAAGCGUGGGGAGCAAACAGGAUUAGAUACCCUGGUAGUC
RNAcentral lists this ribosomal RNA (441 nucleotides) under uncultured bacterium. RNAcentral describes it as "bacterial SSU rRNA". It matches the Rfam family "Bacterial small subunit ribosomal RNA", at positions 338 to 795 of the family's 1533-position model. The record is from RNAcentral.